RNAcentral lists this ribosomal RNA (106 nucleotides) under Paramormyrops kingsleyae. The record is from RNAcentral. Lineage: Eukaryota; Metazoa; Chordata; Actinopteri; Osteoglossiformes; Mormyridae.
CCCAGCAGCCAUACCACCUGCAGUAAUCCAUCUGAAACUAAGCAGGUUUGGGCCUGACCAGUACUUGGAUGGGAGACCAACUAGGAAAACUGGGUUGGUGCUGGAA